GACGGUACCUAAGGAAUCAGCAUCGGCUAACUCCGUGCCAGCAGCCGCGGUAAUACGGAGGAUGCAAGCGUUAUCCGGAAUCAUUGGGCGUAAAGCGUCCGCAGGCGGCCUGAUAAGUCUGUUGUCAAAGCGUGGAGCUCAACUCCAUUUCGGCAAUGGAAACUGUGAGGCUUGAGUGUGGUAGGGGCAGAGGGAAUUCCCGGUGUAGCGGUGAAAUGCGUAGAUAUCGGGAAGAACACCAGUGGCGAAGGCGCUCUGCUGGGCCAUAACUGACGCUCAUGGACGAAAGCCAGGGGAGCGAAAGGGAUUAGAUACCCCUGUAGUCCUGGCCGUAAACGAUGAACACUAGGUGUCGGGGGUAUCGACCCCCUCGGUGUCGCAGCCAACGCGUUAAAUGUUCCGCCUGGGGAGUACGCACGCAAGUGUGAAACUCAAAGGAAUUGACGGGGGCCCGCACAAGCGGUGGAGUAUGUGGUUUAAUUCGAUGCAACGCGAAGAACCUUACCAGGGCUUGACAUCCUGCGAAUCCCUUGGAAACUUGGGAGUACCUUCGGGAGCGCAGUGACAGGUGGUGCAUGGCUGUCGUCAGCUCGUGUCGUGAGAUGUUGGGUUAAGUCCCGCAACGAGCGCAACCCACGUCUUUAGUUGCCAGCAUUCAGUUGGGCACUCUAGAGAGACCGCCGGUGAUAAACCGGAGGAAGGUGUGGAUGACGUCAAGUCAUCAUGCCCCUUACAUCCUGGGCUACACACGUACUACAAUGCUACGGACAAAGGGCAGCAAACUCGCGAGAGCUAGCAAAUCCCAUAAACCGUGGCUCAGUUCAGAUCGUAGGCUACAACUCGCCUACGUGAAGGAGGAAUCGCUAGUAAUCGCAGGUCAGCAUACUGCGGUGAAUACGUUCCCGGGCCUUGUACACACCGCCCGUCACACCAUGGAAGUUGGCCACGCCCGAAGCCGUUACUCCAACCCUUGUGGAGGAGGACGU
Molecule: ribosomal RNA, 986 nt
Filed under: uncultured cyanobacterium
Lineage: Bacteria; Bacillati; Cyanobacteriota
Description: bacterial SSU rRNA
Rfam family: Bacterial small subunit ribosomal RNA
Source: RNAcentral